GCGAUCAGCAACGGUGAGAGCGAAGGCGUGGGAAGCGUCCAGUUAGAACAGCACAUGCUGCAUGAAGUCCGUAUUUCACCCUGGCAUCAGAUAAGUGGCUGGAAAUGACGCCGGCCAAAACAAAGCUGACAAAUAACAAGCAUUUAUUCUGCGCCGCUAUUUAUACAAGCCUCCAUUUGUCGUCUGCUACAGCGCCGUGUCCCCAGACGUGAUUUACCACACGAGUGGGACCGAAAGCAGCUAACAAACAUGACGCACGGCCCUGGAAAACGCAUGUAGAGAGGGAGCAGCAGCGGAGAGCAGUGGGGACGGCUAUUAAAAGCGCGGCGUUGCAUCUGGGUGCCAGAAAGUGAGCGCGAGUGAAGCAGCGCUGGGAACCUGCACCAGCGUCACACGCGUCCACGCAGGAUCUGGGCCUCGGAGCAAAGACCGGUCCCGGACCUGAACCUGAGCCGGCAGCUCAACGCGCGACCCGCUCGGCUCAGCGACGUCUGACUGGGACUUUUGCUGUUCAUUAGAGGCCGUCCCUUCAAGAACUGAGCUGACUCUUUAUUGUCUCAUUGAUUUCUACUUUGAAAUAAGUUGCACGCUUGACAGAACGGCACAGACUGAAGACUCUUUUCAGGCAGAAUUUGACAUUUUUUACACACUAAUUUGCCAAAGUCACACGGCGAUGGUGGACGCUCCCAUUACGCUAAGAUGCUGCCAAAUGUGGAGAGAUAAACAGAGACGCAGCUGUCAGAGCCCAAGCCUCGAUAUCAGAAGAAGAUAAUGAAGGGAGGAGGGGAUGGAAAGCAGCUUAGGGGAAAAGAGAGAGAGGCCACACACGGAGCUGGGUGGGAAUUCUGGGAAUGGCCUGGAAAAUGGGAUGGAGGUCCACUCAUCGGCGUCAGCAUCCAUCAGCGAUCAGCAGCGUUAACGCACAAUUCACCAGACAAGUGUUAAAUAAAAAGGAUGUUGAUUGAUUCUAGUGCCAAUAAACAAUAUGAAUAACGCCAAGGAGCCAUAAGCAAGAGAGAAAAGCUCAAGUACGAAUAUAUUUCACACUUCCACCGCUCUGUUGUGGCUGUUUCCCAUUAGUGCUGAUGACACACCGUGGAUCUGAUGAAAUACGCUCCUCUAUAAAUAAAAGCCGUUACUGUUGUUGCGCUGCAGCCUGGUGGAGGAGCGGCGGGCGCGUGACGCCGGGUAAAACGGCCAAGGGCCCAUCUGGCGCCGUGGCAGGGCCCGAGCGGCGAGAGAGAGAGAGAGAGAGAGAGAGAGAGAGAGAGAGAGAGAGAGAGAGAGGCGGGCGAGCGAGCCUUGGGCAAACAGAGAGCGAGCUUGACAUUAGCUCAUUGAUGCAGACCCUCCCAUCGCUCGCAGGUGUGGGACGCGUCGCCGUGGUGACGGAGCAUCAGCCGUGUGCGUUGGAUGGUGCACAGCAUGAACGCAUUACUGUAUAUACACGGAUGCAAAACCAAAAAAGUGGAGGUCCUUCUGUUUAAGUUCCUGCACGGGAACCAGCAGCAGGAACAGCUAAAUAAAAUUCCCUAAUUAGAAAAAGGCCUGGACGCUUUUCUCAGACUGGAUUAAUAAAAGCUGGACGGGUCAUUAUAAGAUGCAGAGGAGGCUUUUAUGCAUUCAUAAAUUAAAGCAGGUUCAUUGUUUUAAGCUGUGUCUAAGUGGAGAAGAGAAUUUGAGGAAGUUCCCUUUAAUGAUUUACAGUAGCAAGGUUAUAAAAAGAUAAAGCGCUGGAACUAUUAUUAAUA
This is a long non-coding RNA of Betta splendens (Siamese fighting fish), 1751 nucleotides long. RefSeq lists it as uncharacterized. NCBI's taxonomy places the organism in Eukaryota, Metazoa, Chordata, Actinopteri, Anabantiformes, Osphronemidae. The record is from RefSeq and is a predicted model, not a curated record. The transcript is spliced from 3 exons.